UCUUGGAGAAAUGAACAAAUC
RNAcentral lists this non-coding RNA (21 nucleotides) under Caenorhabditis elegans. Lineage: Eukaryota; Metazoa; Nematoda; Chromadorea; Rhabditida; Rhabditidae. The record is from RNAcentral.